GAUGAACGCUGACAGAAUGCUUAACACAUGCAAGUCGAUGGGGGAGGGGUGCUUGCACCAUGGCAACCAUGGCGGACGGGUGAGUAACGCGUAAGGGACUUACCUGCAGGACUGGGAUAACAGGGGGAAACUCCUGACAAGACCGGAUAAUGUCAUGGAUCUGCAUGGCUUUAUGAUGAAAGGAGAUGCCUGCGGAGAGCCUUGCGUUCUAUUCGCUAGUUGGUGAGGUAAUGGCUCACCAAGGCGGAGAUAGGUAGCCGGCCUGACAGGGUGGACGGCCACAAGGGGACUGGGAUACGGACCUUACUCCUACGGGAGGUAGCAGUGAGGAAUACUGGGCAAUGGGGGCAAAGCUGAUCCAGCUAUUCGGUGUGAACGAAGAAGGUGUUCGGAUGGUAAAGUGCUUUCAGCAAAGAAGAAGUAAGUGACGGUACCUGCAGAAGAAGCGACGGCUAAAUACGUG
This 463-nucleotide ribosomal RNA is filed under the name uncultured bacterium. RNAcentral describes it as "partial 16S ribosomal RNA". It matches the Rfam family "Bacterial small subunit ribosomal RNA", at positions 28 to 507 of the family's 1533-position model. The record is from RNAcentral.